Artibeus jamaicensis (Jamaican fruit-eating bat) is the source of this 533-nucleotide long non-coding RNA. RefSeq lists it as uncharacterized. NCBI's taxonomy places the organism in Eukaryota, Metazoa, Chordata, Mammalia, Chiroptera, Phyllostomidae. The record is from RefSeq and is a predicted model, not a curated record. The transcript has 4 exons.
GUGAACCUGCAUGGGCACUGCGGGUUAUGUGCUAACCCCGGGAGAAGUCACCUUCACUGAGACCAGGACCUCGGCAAUGAGAAGGGGUGCUGAGGCCUAGUCCCUCGAAUUCUCCUGUCCGUGGACAUUGGGAUUAUCGCCAGGAUUUUGCUCUUACGAAAAACGUUACUGUUGCCCAAGAUGUGUCCCUGGUGCUCAGAACAGGAAGGUCUCCCAAGUAUCUCAUGGAAGGCAUGAUUGUGCAUCUGAGGACAUGUGAUUGCUAACUUUUACAAGACACAGCCCCACUUGGUACAUCAUGGCGGAGCAGAAGCUCCAUGCAGUUGGAGGACCCUCCUGAUUCCCACUCUCACCACCGUAUCCCCAACACCCAGCCGAGUUUGGCACAAGGGAGAGAGAAAGAGACACAUGUAUCCGUCGCCUCCCAUCUGCACCCCAACCAGGGAUUGAACCUGCAUCCUAGGUAUGUGCCCUAACCAGGAAUCGAACUCCUGAUCUUCUGUGCUCAGGACAAUCAGCUGAGCCACCUAGCU